RNAcentral lists this transfer RNA (76 nucleotides) under Clostridia bacterium. RNAcentral's name for it is "tRNA-Thr". It matches the Rfam family "tRNA". Rfam says of the family: Transfer RNA (tRNA) molecules are approximately 80 nucleotides in length. Lineage: Bacteria; Bacillati; Bacillota; Clostridia. The record is from RNAcentral.
GCUGAUGUAGCUCAGUUGGUAGAGCAGCUGAUUUGUAAUCAGCAGGUCGGGGGUUCAAGUCCGUCCAUCAGCUCCA